UUGAAAGGGAAACGAUUGAAGUCAGUCGUACCUAUGGGUAAUCAGCCUUUUGGGUGUGAUUUUGUGGAGCGUGGAGAGUUAAACGCCUUCAUGCCUGCAUAUUCGUGUACUUUGGGUGUACUUGCCCGUGUGUAAGUUAACAUCAAUUUUGGUGGUCAUAAAAUGGCUGGAGGAAUGUAGCUUCGAUCUUGUAUUGAAGUGUUAUAGCCUUCGGUAGAUGUGACGAUCGGGAUUGAGGAUUGCAACGGAUACCCUUCGGGGCUACCUAUCUGAUCUCUGAUCGUUGCUCUGGUGCCGAAAGCUUGCUUACGGUUAUCAAAGUCGAUGGUCAAUAGGUUAGAAUGGGUUAAAUUCGUUAAGGAUGUUGACGUA
RNAcentral lists this ribosomal RNA (372 nucleotides) under uncultured Glomeromycotina. RNAcentral's name for it is "LSU rRNA". Lineage: Eukaryota; Fungi; Glomeromycota. The record is from RNAcentral.